AUUGAACGCUGGCGGAAUGCUUUACACAUGCAAGUCGAACGGCAGCACGGACUUCGGUCUGGUGGCGAGUGGCGAACGGGUGAGUAAUGUAUCGGAACGUGCCCAGUCGUGGGGGAUAACGUAGUGAUAAUUAAGCUAAUACCGCAUACGAUCUAUGGAUGAAAGCGGGGGAACGCAAGACCUCGCGCGAUUGGAGCGGCCGAUAUCAGAUGAGGUAGUUGGUGGGGUAAAGGGCCACCAAGCCAACGAUCUGUAGCUGGUCUGAGAGGACGACCAGCCACACUGGAACUGAGACACGGUCCAGACUCCUACGGGAGGCAGCAGUGGGGAAUUUUGGACAAUGGGCGAAAGCCUGAUCCAGCCAUUCCGCGUGCAGGAUGAAGGCCCUCGGGUUGUAAACUGCUUUUGUACAGAACGAAAAGGUUUCUACUAAUACUAGGAGCUCAUGACGGUACUGUAAGAAUAAGCACCGGCUAACUACGUGCCAGCCGCCGCCGUAA
Molecule: ribosomal RNA, 500 nt
Filed under: uncultured bacterium
Lineage: Bacteria
Description: partial 16S ribosomal RNA
Rfam family: Bacterial small subunit ribosomal RNA
Source: RNAcentral